CACAUAUUACGUGAUGCGUUAAAAGCCGAUGAUUAAUUUAGCACGGACGAUGCACCAAGAUCUACGGCUUCUUUUGUAAUCACGGGCUUUACUUCAGAAUAUUCGCGUGUUCUUUGCGGCUGGGUGUUUUUCGGCAGCAUCUUAAUACAAGAAAAGUUAUGAAGUUGGUGUUUGUUUUGUGCGUCCUAAUGAUAUGUAUGGUGUCUGCCCAGCCGCCGUAUUUCUUUGAUGGUCCACCACCUUUGGACUUUAUCGGAGGAGACCAAGGGUAUAUGGGAAGUUGGGUUGGUACUUAUGGUGGCGCAGGGGCAGGAGAGAUGUACGCCGAUGGUAUAAGACACUAGUCAUUUCCUCAGGGGAUACAAUAAAAAUAUGAAUGGACAAUAUUAAUUAGAAUUCAUCAUCUGUUGACAAUCUCGUUUUGUGAUGUAUUUUUGUGUGUUUAUUAUAUCAUACAUGUAUUAUGUCGUGCUUACUGCUAAAAUAGCUUUUAACUGUACAAUU
Molecule: long non-coding RNA, 504 nt
Organism: Ruditapes philippinarum (Manila clam)
Lineage: Eukaryota; Metazoa; Mollusca; Bivalvia; Venerida; Veneridae
Exons: 3
Source: RefSeq, a predicted model, not a curated record